GUGUAUGUAACUAUUUUGGACAGACUCCAUGUUCCUCAGAUGAUGUCUCUUAAUGACUUUGGUGGUCCCCUGGUUUUUUGUCGAGUGCCACAAUGAAGUUGACCUUUUUGGUUUAUAUUACUUUCCUAAAACAAGGAUGUUGGGACUGAUGAUUAUUCUGAGAUUAGAGGCGCAAAUAGAGGUGCUGAGAACAACUGCAUGAUUUAAAGGGACUGAUUAUGAAUGAUUGAUAUAAAAUCUUGUAAUUAAAAAUAUGUAGCUUCUAUUUCAGAUGCAGGUGGAUCCCAGGAUGUCACAUAUUCUUCGAUUGAACUUAAAAACUUUGGAAAGAAGAGGAGCCAACAUGAACCAGAGGAAAGAGCUAUUUACUCUGAUGUGAAAACAGCUACUGCAGGUACAAUCUGAUGUAUGCCCAAGUCAACCACCACGAUAAAGGCAAAGCCAAGAGAAGCAAAGGAAAAUCACCUCCUGCAGCAACUGCUGACGCUGUUUAUUCUGAAAUUAAACCAGGAACAGCUCUCGGUAAUAAUGCUGCCAUCUGAUGUGCUUACUGUAAGGACUUAUUCUACAAAUAAUCCAUAUGUCUUUAAUAACCGUAUAUAUUUUUUUCUGGUUUUACUCCAGGUCUAUAAAAAGAACUGUAUCAUCAAAGAAAUAAUGUUGACAGCCUUUCAUUAAAUUAUCUUUCAUGAAAUUAUUGUGUGCUGUCCAAAUAUAAGAUAUGUUCAGUACGUUGUACAGUUAAUUUCUUAGUAUAAUAUACAUUAU
Molecule: long non-coding RNA, 768 nt
Organism: Morone saxatilis (striped sea-bass)
Lineage: Eukaryota; Metazoa; Chordata; Actinopteri; Moronidae
Exons: 3
Source: RefSeq, a predicted model, not a curated record